GCCCGUUUGGCUUAGCGGUAAAGCGCAUCACUAGUACUUGCUAAUAAUUAUCUGCAAAUGAUGAGAUCCUAGGUUCGAUUCCUAGAACGGGCA
This 93-nucleotide transfer RNA is filed under the name Sclerotinia borealis F-4128. It matches the Rfam family "tRNA". Rfam says of the family: Transfer RNA (tRNA) molecules are approximately 80 nucleotides in length. Their secondary structure includes four short double-helical elements and three loops (D, anti-codon, and T loops). Lineage: Eukaryota; Fungi; Ascomycota; Leotiomycetes; Helotiales; Sclerotiniaceae. The record is from Rfam by way of RNAcentral.